UCCGGUUUGUCACCGGCAGUCUCAUUAGAGUGCCCUUUCGUAGCAACUAAUGAUAAGGGUUGCGCUCGUUGCGGGACUUAACCCAACAUCUCACGACACGAGCUGACGACAGCCAUGCAGCACCUGUGUUCUGGCUCUCUUUCGAGCACUCCCGCAUCUCUACAGGAUUCCAGACAUGUCAAGCGUAGGUAAGGUUUUUCGCGUUGCAUCGAAUUAAUCCACAUCAUCCACCGCUUGUGCGGGUCCCCGUCAAUUCCUUUGAGUUUUAAUCUUGCGACCGUACUCCCCAGGCGGUCUACUUCCCGCGUUAGCUGCGUUACCAAGGAAAUUAAUCCCCGACAACUAGUAGACAUCGUUUAGGGCGUGGACUAC
This 372-nucleotide unclassified non-coding RNA is filed under the name uncultured Gammaproteobacteria bacterium. Its description in RNAcentral is "contains 16S-23S intergenic spacer region". The record is from RNAcentral. Lineage: Bacteria; Pseudomonadati; Pseudomonadota; Gammaproteobacteria.